This 2902-nucleotide ribosomal RNA is filed under the name Escherichia coli. RNAcentral's name for it is "bacterial LSU rRNA". It matches the Rfam family "Bacterial large subunit ribosomal RNA". Lineage: Bacteria; Pseudomonadati; Pseudomonadota; Gammaproteobacteria; Enterobacterales; Enterobacteriaceae. The record is from RNAcentral. RNAcentral also lists the same sequence under 1 other name.
UUAAGCGACUAAGCGUACACGGUGGAUGCCCUGGCAGUCAGAGGCGAUGAAGGACGUGCUAAUCUGCGAUAAGCGUCGGUAAGGUGAUAUGAACCGUUAUAACCGGCGAUUUCCGAAUGGGGAAACCCAGUGUGUUUCGACACACUAUCAUUAACUGAAUCCAUAGGUUAAUGAGGCGAACCGGGGGAACUGAAACAUCUAAGUACCCCGAGGAAAAGAAAUCAACCGAGAUUCCCCCAGUAGCGGCGAGCGAACGGGGAGGAGCCCAGAGCCUGAAUCAGUGUGUGUGUUAGUGGAAGCGUCUGGAAAGGCGCGCGAUACAGGGUGACAGCCCCGUACACAAAAAUGCACAUGCUGUGAGCUCGAUGAGUAGGGCGGGACACGUGGUAUCCUGUCUGAAUAUGGGGGGACCAUCCUCCAAGGCUAAAUACUCCUGACUGACCGAUAGUGAACCAGUACCGUGAGGGAAAGGCGAAAAGAACCCCGGCGAGGGGAGUGAAAAAGAACCUGAAACCGUGUACGUACAAGCAGUGGGAGCACGCUUAGGCGUGUGACUGCGUACCUUUUGUAUAAUGGGUCAGCGACUUAUAUUCUGUAGCAAGGUUAACCGAAUAGGGGAGCCGAAGGGAAACCGAGUCUUAACUGGGCGUUAAGUUGCAGGGUAUAGACCCGAAACCCGGUGAUCUAGCCAUGGGCAGGUUGAAGGUUGGGUAACACUAACUGGAGGACCGAACCGACUAAUGUUGAAAAAUUAGCGGAUGACUUGUGGCUGGGGGUGAAAGGCCAAUCAAACCGGGAGAUAGCUGGUUCUCCCCGAAAGCUAUUUAGGUAGCGCCUCGUGAAUUCAUCUCCGGGGGUAGAGCACUGUUUCGGCAAGGGGGUCAUCCCGACUUACCAACCCGAUGCAAACUGCGAAUACCGGAGAAUGUUAUCACGGGAGACACACGGCGGGUGCUAACGUCCGUCGUGAAGAGGGAAACAACCCAGACCGCCAGCUAAGGUCCCAAAGUCAUGGUUAAGUGGGAAACGAUGUGGGAAGGCCCAGACAGCCAGGAUGUUGGCUUAGAAGCAGCCAUCAUUUAAAGAAAGCGUAAUAGCUCACUGGUCGAGUCGGCCUGCGCGGAAGAUGUAACGGGGCUAAACCAUGCACCGAAGCUGCGGCAGCGACGCUUAUGCGUUGUUGGGUAGGGGAGCGUUCUGUAAGCCUGUGAAGGUGUGCUGUGAGGCAUGCUGGAGGUAUCAGAAGUGCGAAUGCUGACAUAAGUAACGAUAAAGCGGGUGAAAAGCCCGCUCGCCGGAAGACCAAGGGUUCCUGUCCAACGUUAAUCGGGGCAGGGUGAGUCGACCCCUAAGGCGAGGCCGAAAGGCGUAGUCGAUGGGAAACAGGUUAAUAUUCCUGUACUUGGUGUUACUGCGAAGGGGGGACGGAGAAGGCUAUGUUGGCCGGGCGACGGUUGUCCCGGUUUAAGCGUGUAGGCUGGUUUUCCAGGCAAAUCCGGAAAAUCAAGGCUGAGGCGUGAUGACGAGGCACUACGGUGCUGAAGCAACAAAUGCCCUGCUUCCAGGAAAAGCCUCUAAGCAUCAGGUAACAUCAAAUCGUACCCCAAACCGACACAGGUGGUCAGGUAGAGAAUACCAAGGCGCUUGAGAGAACUCGGGUGAAGGAACUAGGCAAAAUGGUGCCGUAACUUCGGGAGAAGGCACGCUGAUAUGUAGGUGAAGCGACUUGCUCGUGGAGCUGAAAUCAGUCGAAGAUACCAGCUGGCUGCAACUGUUUAUUAAAAACACAGCACUGUGCAAACACGAAAGUGGACGUAUACGGUGUGACGCCUGCCCGGUGCCGGAAGGUUAAUUGAUGGGGUCAGCGCAAGCGAAGCUCUUGAUCGAAGCCCCGGUAAACGGCGGCCGUAACUAUAACGGUCCUAAGGUAGCGAAAUUCCUUGUCGGGUAAGUUCCGACCUGCACGAAUGGCGUAAUGAUGGCCAGGCUGUCUCCACCCGAGACUCAGUGAAAUUGAACUCGCUGUGAAGAUGCAGUGUACCCGCGGCAAGACGGAAAGACCCCGUGAACCUUUACUAUAGCUUGACACUGAACAUUGAGCCUUGAUGUGUAGGAUAGGUGGGAGGCUUUGAAGUGUGGACGCCAGUCUGCAUGGAGCCGACCUUGAAAUACCACCCUUUAAUGUUUGAUGUUCUAACGUUGACCCGUAAUCCGGGUUGCGGACAGUGUCUGGUGGGUAGUUUGACUGGGGCGGUCUCCUCCUAAAGAGUAACGGAGGAGCACGAAGGUUGGCUAAUCCUGGUCGGACAUCAGGAGGUUAGUGCAAUGGCAUAAGCCAGCUUGACUGCGAGCGUGACGGCGCGAGCAGGUGCGAAAGCAGGUCAUAGUGAUCCGGUGGUUCUGAAUGGAAGGGCCAUCGCUCAACGGAUAAAAGGUACUCCGGGGAUAACAGGCUGAUACCGCCCAAGAGUUCAUAUCGACGGCGGUGUUUGGCACCUCGAUGUCGGCUCAUCACAUCCUGGGGCUGAAGUAGGUCCCAAGGGUAUGGCUGUUCGCCAUUUAAAGUGGUACGCGAGCUGGGUUUAGAACGUCGUGAGACAGUUCGGUCCCUAUCUGCCGUGGGCGCUGGAGAACUGAGGGGGGCUGCUCCUAGUACGAGAGGACCGGAGUGGACGCAUCACUGGUGUUCGGGUUGUCAUGCCAAUGGCACUGCCCGGUAGCUAAAUGCGGAAGAGAUAAGUGCUGAAAGCAUCUAAGCACGAAACUUGCCCCGAGAUGAGUUCUCCCUGACUCCUUGAGAGUCCUGAAGGAACGUUGAAGACGACGACGUUGAUAGGCCGGGUGUGUAAGCGCAGCGAUGCGUUGAGCUAACCGGUACUAAUGAACCGUGAGGCUUAACCUU